Aedes albopictus (Asian tiger mosquito) is the source of this 72-nucleotide non-coding RNA. The record is from Rfam. NCBI's taxonomy places the organism in Eukaryota, Metazoa, Arthropoda, Insecta, Diptera, Culicidae.
UGCUUGGUAGCCUAGUUGGUAAAGCGCUCGCCUAGCGUACAAGGGUCGUGAGUUCAAACCUCAUCUGCGCUG